CGGCUGAGGCCAAGGAGGAGGAGGCGGCUGCGGGGGAGGAGGAGGACAAGGCCAAGGGCGAGGCCGAGCGCCGGGGGCUGAAGCGGCUCCGGGACGAGAAGGACGAGCACGGCCGGGCCUGGCACGAGUUCCGUGAGGAGGCCUACAACAGCCGAUCCAAAUCUCCGCCGCCGCCCGAGGAGGAGCCGCCCGAGGGGGAGGAGGACGAGACCCUGGUGAUCCUGGACACCUGUGAGGGAAAUCUGGGAAUUUGGGGAAGGGCUGGGAGGAGCUGGGAGAUUCCUUUGGGAAUUUUUGCCAUUUCCCAAUCAUUUCUGGAAUUUGGGGCCGUUUUGGGGGCGAUUCCUUGGAAUUUGGGCAGAGAUUUUGAGGCCAUCUCGAGAUUUUUUUUUGGGGGGGAUUUUGGAAUUUCCUGGGAUGAUUUGGGGUGGGUUUGACUCCCCCCAAGGGUUUUGGGUAGAAAUUCAGGAAUUUUGGGAUUUGAGGUGACUUUGCCUCAAUUCCAGGCAGAAUUUGGGGAUAAUUUUGGUGAUUUCUGUGCUGAUUUCAGGGAUUUGGGGUGGGAACAGAGAAUUCCAAGUGGAUUUUAGGGCUCAUUUCAGGGAUUUUGGGAGAGAAUGAAGAAUUCCAGGUGGAUUUUAGGGAUCAUUUCAGGGAUUUUGGGAGAGAAUGAAGAAUUCCAGGUGGAUUUCAGGGAUCAUUUCAGGGAUUUGGGGAGGGAAUGCAGAAUUCCAAGUGGAUUUUAGGUAUCAUUUGAACCCUUUUGGGAUUUGAGCCGCCCCUGGUGCAUUUUUGGGCCAUUUUGACCCAUUUGUGCUGCUUUUGGAUCCGAGAUAUUUUUCCCUCAGUUCCAGGCAGAAUUUGGGGAUCAUUUUGGUGAUUUUUAUGCAGUGUCAGAGGUUUUGGAUCUGGGGAGGGAUCCAGGAAUUCCAGGUGGAUUUUGGGAGCGUUCAGGAUCUGACCCAUCCCAGGAGCAUUUCUGGGACCGUUCUCCCUGCGGGGCCCCGAUCC
This 1011-nucleotide long non-coding RNA is filed under the name Serinus canaria (Common canary). RNAcentral's name for it is "lncRNA (ENSSCAG00000008281.1)". Lineage: Eukaryota; Metazoa; Chordata; Aves; Passeriformes; Fringillidae. The record is from RNAcentral.